RNAcentral lists this ribosomal RNA (466 nucleotides) under uncultured bacterium. RNAcentral's name for it is "bacterial SSU rRNA". It matches the Rfam family "Bacterial small subunit ribosomal RNA", at positions 46 to 507 of the family's 1533-position model. The record is from RNAcentral.
GCCUUACACAUGCAAGUCGAGCGGCAGCACGGGAGCAAUCCUGGUGGCGAGUGGCGAACGGGUGAGUAAUAUAUCGGAACGUGCCCGGUCGUGGGGGAUAACGUAGCGAAAGCUACGCUAAUACCGCAUACGAUCUACGGAUGAAAGCGGGGGAUCGCAAGACCUCGCGCGAUUGGAGCGGCCGAUAUCAGAUUAGGUAGUUGGUGAGGUAAAGGCUCACCAAGCCGACGAUCUGUAGCUGGUCUGAGAGGACGACCAGCCACACUGGGACUGAGACACGGCCCAGACUCCUACGGGAGGCAGCAGUGGGGAAUUUUGGACAAUGGGCGCAAGCCUGAUCCAGCAAUGCCGCGUGCAGGAUGAAGGCCUUCGGGUUGUAAACUGCUUUUGUACGGAACGAAACGGUGAGCUCUAAUACAGUUUGCUAAUGACGGUACCGUAAGAAUAAGCACCGGCUAACUACGUG